AAUUUAAAGUGCCUUUAGUAAUUGCAGUCACCGUUGUUGUAUUCACGACAGUGAAUCGUCAUCAUUUACGCCCCGAGCUCUUCCACGGUGUCAUCAUUUUUCGGCAAAGAACGUCUUCAGUAAAUACUAGUGGUGGUAAUCCAGUUUUCCUUGGAAGUCGUUGGAGAUACAUGUACCUGACAUUGUACAUUGUAGGUAGAACACAUUGUAGGUAGAACGCAUUGUAGGUACUACCGUAGUACGCAUGGUAGGUAGUACGCAUUGUAGGUAGUACGCAUUGUAGGUAGAACGCCAUUGUAGGUAGUACGCAUUGUAGGUAGAACGCAUUGUAGGUAGAACGCAUUGUAGGUAGAACGCAUUGUAGGUAGAACGCAUAGUAGGUAGAACGCAUUGUAGGUAGAACGCAUUGUAGGUAGAACACAUUGUAGGUAGAACGCUGAAUGAAGGGGCUGACUCAAUAGUAUAAAGAAGGAUACGUGCCUGGGUAUUUCAAAGCGAUUGCAUGACGGGAAUCAGUAAGUCUUUUAAAAUGGCUUGUGCCUACGUUGACGUUGAGAUCAGCGAGAAAACCAGCGCAUGCGGGCAACGAAUAAUGUGCACAUGCUAUAAUAAGCCUAUAUCAGCUGUGCAGGGAUAGGUGCACUGUUCCCCCCCCCCCCCCCAGACGUAAGGUCUAGGGAUCAUGGGGUGCAGCACGCAUCGCUUCAAAGUUGUCUGUUUUACCUAAAAUACUUGGAAGAUGGGUUAAUAUCUUUGAUUAUUAUUGCAUUUUGCGCUCAUGUUUAAUUAUACGAGAUGUGGAUGGCAGUCGUGACUCGUGAGUCAGUCAAGUACAUGUACCAAGUCAAGUCGACGGAAAAGCGCGAGCUCCGAUGUGGGGAGCGAACACCUUUCUAUAUGAUUGUAUCUACACUCAUGUAUAGCAUGUACACAAUUACAUUGUAUGUACAUGUUUCGCUCCCUGAUAUCACAACGUAUGUGUAGAUUGGCAGCAAGAUACCUUGCAUUUACUUUGUACAUGAAAGAGAAUGUACAGUACAUUGUAUGACCAAUGGCAAUGCAUUAUUGAGAACGUAGAGAUCAUUGAGGGACGGUGCAUUGCAUGGAAGGCAGAAGUACCGUGGAUUUUUUUAAAUACCACAAAAACACGUAAC
Molecule: long non-coding RNA, 1154 nt
Organism: Sycon ciliatum
Lineage: Eukaryota; Metazoa; Porifera; Calcarea; Leucosolenida; Sycettidae
Exons: 3
Source: RefSeq, a predicted model, not a curated record